GGGGCUCUAUGUGUCUCUAUGGGUCUCUAUGGGGUCUCUAUGGGUCUCUAUGGGGUCUCUAUGUGUCUCUAUGGGGUCGCUAUGGGGUCACAGUGGGUCUCUAUGGGUCUCUAUGGGUCUCUAUGGGGUUGCUAUGGGGUCUCUAUGGGUCUCUAUGGGUCUCUAUGGGGUCGCUAUGGGGUCUCUGUGGGGCACGCACGUUGCACGGCCGCGCGCAGGCGCAGUGCGAGGCGCUGGAUGAGCUGCCCCCGCUCCCGGUCGCGCUGUCCCUUCCCGUGCCGCACCUUGGACCAGCGGUUGUGGCCGGCGCAGUUCGGGGCCGAGCCCAGCAGGGGGCGCCACUGAGUCAACCACGGCCCGCGGCACCGCGCCCAGCGGGAC
RNAcentral lists this long non-coding RNA (381 nucleotides) under Numida meleagris (helmeted guineafowl). RNAcentral's name for it is "lncRNA (ENSNMEG00000000915.1)". The record is from RNAcentral. Lineage: Eukaryota; Metazoa; Chordata; Aves; Galliformes; Numididae.